RNAcentral lists this transfer RNA (72 nucleotides) under Pangasianodon hypophthalmus (striped catfish). It matches the Rfam family "tRNA". Rfam says of the family: Transfer RNA (tRNA) molecules are approximately 80 nucleotides in length. Their secondary structure includes four short double-helical elements and three loops (D, anti-codon, and T loops). The record is from Rfam by way of RNAcentral. Lineage: Eukaryota; Metazoa; Chordata; Actinopteri; Siluriformes; Pangasiidae.
UUCCUGGAGGACUAGUGGCUAGGCCACAGUGCUCUCACCGCUGUGGCGUGGGUUCGAUUCCUGGCUAGGGAA